GUGCUCCUUAGCCGCUUAAUCCAGCUGCGCGGCGUCCUGGCGUCACAGUUCAGAACCUGGUGACGCAAAGCCGUGGGGCGAGGGGGCGGCUAGCCAGGGAGCGAGGCGACCUAGUUGUCCUUUCAGUGUCCGUCCUGCCGCUGGAGUCCAGAGUCAGCAGUUGAUGUGGAUCAAAGGCUGGUGGCUUUUGAGCCGGGGCCCGUGGGGACCCGCAUGAACCCUGGGCAGCGUGCUGGCGGGUUGUGCCUUUGCCCUGCACGUGCUGUGCCCCCAGGCCCUCUGUCUCCUUCGUUGAGUGUGAUUUUUCUCUGAGAGCCUGUCUUCCCCCACGAGGCAAGUGUGCCUAACAAAGGGAGAUGUAUCUGGAACUGAGCAGCGCCAUGAGGGGCUUCUAGAAGUCUCUGGGAGUCUCAGGGUUUGUCCUGGAAGGUGAUUCUGGAAGGAAAUCAUAUCCAUCCUGGGCUCUUUGCUUUCAUCAUUGUUAUUGUCAUCGCCAUCGUCAUCACAAUUGUCAUCAUCAUCACCAUCAGCUUUAUCAUCAGCACUCUCGUCAUCACAGCCAUCACUGAAUAUGGUGCUCACUAUGUCCCAUCACUGCUCUAAGUGAUUUCAGUUGCUCCUUUGUCAUCAUCACAAAUCUCUCAGGUAGUAUCAUUGCCAUCCUCAUUUUAAUGGUGAACAGUUGAGGCACAGAGAGGUUAAGAGACCACCUAAUGUUGCACAGGUAGUGAGCUGCAGAGCCUGCACUCACAUGAGCAGCCUGGCCCCAAGUCCACGCUCUCAGCCGCUCUCUGUGUUGCACAACACGCCCUGAUCUCCCUGGACAGUCUUUGCUCCCCGUCAUUGGGAUUGUGUCCCCACCUUGGCUGUCCUCAGAAUGCCCCUCCCCCAGGCCUGGGUCAGAUGUGCCCAUCCUCCAAGCUCCUUUCUGGUCCACCUCUUCAUGAAGCCCCUCCUAGCAUCUCCUCUCCCUGGCUCCAGAAGCUCAUGGCACUGCUGUUGUCCCCUCCUGACACCGACCCCCUGCAGCACUGGCCUGAGGGUCCAGGAGGCAGUCCUCCAGGCAUGCGGACUCUCCCAGCCUGGUGCCCUCAAUUUCUCCCCAGGAUGUGCAGGGACAGCGUGUUGUGGGCCCAGCAGUGGCCUUCAUGGUGGGCUUUAAGGCUCAGGGUGAGGGAGGAGGGGAGGUGUUCAUCACCUGAAAUUCUUGGCCUCUCGACAUCCUCACAUCACAGCCCAUGGAAACUGCAUGGGUGAGGUGUCAUUGUGAUCUGACAUGCAUCCACCGCUCCCCCCAGCCUGGCUCUCGACGUGAGCGUGUGGUGUGUGGGCAACUGAGGGACACUGGCUUUGAAUGAACAAGAUUGAAGCAGAGAGAUCCUGUCUUCCCCACACAAGGCAAGUGUGCUGACACCUCCUGACAAAGGGAACUGGCUGUGCAUCUAUUCUCCCUGCUGGAGACACCUUUAUCUUUUCUUACAGAGCAUCUAGCCUCUGAACUCACACAGUAUUCCUGCUCUAGCAAGAUCAGGACAUGAAAUCAGGACAGCGAGUUUAAUAGACUCAGGCUGGGCUUCCCCGUUGCCAGCCUCCUGGGGGGCACGUCCCCUCUCUGGGCAGCCUGGGCAGGAGUGGCCUCUGCCGUGGUCCCUUCUGAGAGCCCAGCCUAAGGAUGUGGACCCUGGACCUCCCCUGGCCAAUGUGCAGACGAGAAGAGCCAGCGUGAACUGUGCUCACUUUGUGCCGGCCAUGUUUGUGGGAGCUUUAGUGAUGGAAUCUGCUCACUCAAUCUUCAUCCUAGAUGAGGAAACUGAGGCACAGAGUGGUUCAUUCACUUGUCCGAGGACACACCUUGGGAGCAGCAAUGUUUGAGGCAGAAGCUGCCUCAUUAGCCUGGUCCUGGAGUGGCGAUGAGGUGGAGCAAAUCCACAGCCAAGUCAAAAUGAACAGGAAGCGUGAUGGGAAACAAGCCUGUCUUUCUGUGAACUGCUGAGACCUGGGGGUUCUUUGUUACUGCUGCAUGACUGGCUCAUCCCACCGAUCCACCAGCCCACAAACGGAACGCGUGUCCACCGAGGGUCUGGAUGUGGGUGCCUCUGUGUCGUGUUGUCCCCACAUGUGGAGGGGGGGGGGGCAGUGUCCGCACAGGGACCUAGUGAAUAUCUAUUGACUGACAGGUGCCAGUUAACUGUUCACGUCGCUCCUGUUUGGUCUCUGGGUGCUUCCUUUCUCCUGUGACGUCUCCCUCGCUGCUUGCCCUCCUGGCUGCAGCCUGAAGCGCCCGGUGGGGCUCCAGCAGCUGGUCGGGAGCUGGCGAGGAGGAGCCCCAGCUCGGCCUGCUGAGCCAUGGAGAGGAGUCUCGUUUCCAUCAGUUCUUCUUGGGCCUCUGAGCUUGGAGUGAGAUGAGAUCCGCCCUGGAUCCAGUAGCCUGGGCCCUUGCCUCACACGGACACGGGAAGGAAACAAAUGCCCACGACCAGCUUUUAUGUUUUUUCUCUACUCUUCUGGGAAAAAUAGGGUCCUGGCUUCCAGAACGUUCCCUGAAGCCAGGAAGGGCCAGGGCUCCAGUUUCGCCUUUGUCAGCUCCAGACCCGUUUGCAGUUCCAUCAGAAGGAGGCAUCGCCCCCACAGAACACCCCUCCUCACUCCCACAGGACGCCGUCCCUGUGAAGAAGGACUGUGUUGUUGUCGGAGCUGCUGCCACUCAGCCUGGAACGAGCCUCCCGACUCGGCGUGGCCUGUUUCCAUCUACCUGCUCUACGGGGCCUUCGAUUCUGGAGACCAGUUCAGUAAAUACGUCCGUACCUGUGCUAUAUAUACGUAUAUCGAUAUAUAUGAAUAAAUGCUCAUUGGACUAUCGUUUACGACAGGUUAAGACCAGCAACCACAGAGUGUGCCUGGAUAGGGGCAGGUGGCGGAUGAUAGGAAUGACUGUGACAGCAGGAACACACAUUGCUGGAGCCCUGCCUUUGCCCAGAGCUCACACUGAGAACAACCAUUGCAAAGAGCAGAAUGGGUUUGCCCUGGCCAACGUGGAGGUCGCUCAUUAACACAGACGGAAGGGACCUGACGGCAGACGUGGGGGACGGGAAGGCUGCCUCCUGCUCAGAGCCGGUCCCGCUCCAGUCCAUCUGCCCAUGUCCAGAUCUGGGCAGUGGUGGGGUGAUGCACGAGAGGUACAAAUGGGGGCGUCUUUGGGGAGCUGUUGAUGACAAGGAUGGGUCCUACAGAGAGGAGCCUUUGGGAGGUGGUGGCAGCUGAAUUACUCUGGGUUUGACUCUCUGUCUAUUUAAAAUUGACUAAACCGUGAAUCAUGCCUGCCACAUCCCGUGCAUGUUGGUUUCAGUGGAUUUGCUGCUAAUUUCUGCCUUAGGAAGAGCUGGGCCUCAGGAGAAACUCGAUAAGCAAAAGUGAGCAGGUGCACCUUGAGAGAACCGACUGGAGUCAUCUUCACCAUGUGUUCAGGUGUCUGCUAACUUUAUAAAAACAGUUUGUCCCUUGACAGUCCAUGAGCAGAGGAAGGAUUGAACUCACCAGGAUGGAAGGAGCCAGCUUGGGUGGAAGGAGGAUGAAAUAAGGUACAAACAAGAUGAUACCCCAUAUUGGUAUGUCUGCACCACCUUCUGGGUCUCUAUCCUGUCAAAGCCCAGGGCCUACAGGUCCCAUCCUCUCGUGUCCAGGACGAGAUUCAGUGAUUAUCACCUGGCAUAGAAUGGACGCUCAGGCCUACACAUGAACAGCAGCCCUGGACUCACCUGGGCGUGGCCUCUGACCAAACUCUCCCUGAGGCCACCCCAACACAUUCCUGCCUCCAGUCGCCGCAUCUGGCUGCUGUGGGAGCUUCCUGGUCAUGACAUCAAUGUCCCCAGCCUGAUUUCAAGGGAAAACUAAAUGAAGGAGAAGGCAAGGCUGACAAGAGGCUGGGCCCUGACUGGGGUCUGGGAAGCUGGUCAUGCUGGAGACACGGCCCAUGGGCACUGGCUAUGGGCAGAAUCGAGAUGAUCAUCCCAGACAGGCCGGGCUCCUGGAGCUUGGUGUGGAAUCACGCUACUGUUUGGAGCAGCCCAGGGCAGAAGGGAGCAGGUGGAACUUCCCCUGUGACCUGAAGGAAAUCAAUCGCAGGGCUGGGGGACUUUGGCACCUUACAAAUAUCCUGUUCUUUCAUUUUCCACCUGUUGGUUUCUCCCCAGUUGAUAAGGCUGCCCUGGAUCAAUAAUUCAUUUCCACUGAGGAUUGUGCGAUGAUGACUUUCCAGUUCCACUGUCCCCUCCCUGCUUGGUGACUGUCAUUGUCCUGUGAAGCGGAGCCUUUGGGGGAGGCUCUGAAUGACAGGCCCUGUGGAAGGCAGGGCGAAGGCUUCCUCCUGUCCCUUUCUUCAUCGGUUUUCGAAGUGAUGUGUGGUCCUGGUUGGGUCCUGGUUAUAACAUACCGACACAACGAACAUUUGAAAACCAUUGGAAAAAUCAGAAUAAAACCUGGGUAUUAGAGGGGCUGGCCGGUUAAGUGCACAUGUUCCACUUCGGUGGCCUGGGGUUGGUCAGUUCGAAUCCUGGGUGUGGAGAUGGCACUGCAUGGCAAGCCAUGCUGUGGUAGG
RNAcentral lists this long non-coding RNA (4594 nucleotides) under Equus asinus (donkey). Its description in RNAcentral is "lncRNA (ENSEASG00005030765.1)". The record is from RNAcentral. Lineage: Eukaryota; Metazoa; Chordata; Mammalia; Perissodactyla; Equidae.